UACGGAGGGUGCGAGCGUUGUCCGGAUUUAUUGGGUUUAAAGGGUGCGUAGGCGGCCCUGUAAGUCAGUGGUGAAAUACUGCAGCUUAACUGUAGCAUUGCCAUUGAUACUGUAGGGCUUGAGUACAGAUGAGGUAGGCGGAAUUGAUGGUGUAGCGGUGAAAUGCAUAGAUACCAUCAAGAACACCGAUUGCGAAGGCAGCUUACUAAGCUGUAACUGACGCUGAGGCACGAAAGCGUGGGGAUCGAACAGG
Molecule: ribosomal RNA, 253 nt
Filed under: uncultured bacterium
Lineage: Bacteria
Description: partial 16S ribosomal RNA
Rfam family: Bacterial small subunit ribosomal RNA
Source: RNAcentral